This 69-nucleotide transfer RNA is filed under the name Pachydactylus weberi. Its description in RNAcentral is "tRNA-Ala". It matches the Rfam family "tRNA". Rfam says of the family: Transfer RNA (tRNA) molecules are approximately 80 nucleotides in length. Their secondary structure includes four short double-helical elements and three loops (D, anti-codon, and T loops). Lineage: Eukaryota; Metazoa; Chordata; Lepidosauria; Squamata; Gekkonidae. The record is from RNAcentral.
UAAGGCCUUAGUUUAAUUAAAGCGACUGGGUUGCAGCUAGUAAAUGUGGGCUAAAGUCCUACAGGUCUU